Molecule: ribosomal RNA, 1945 nt
Filed under: Escherichia coli
Lineage: Bacteria; Pseudomonadati; Pseudomonadota; Gammaproteobacteria; Enterobacterales; Enterobacteriaceae
Description: partial 23S ribosomal RNA
Rfam family: Bacterial large subunit ribosomal RNA
Source: RNAcentral
AGAGGGAAACAACCCAGACCGCCAGCUAAGGUCCCAAAGUCAUGGUUAAGUGGGAAACGAUGUGGGAAGGCCCAGACAGCCAGGAUGUUGGCUUAGAAGCAGCCAUCAUUUAAAGAAAGCGUAAUAGCUCACUGGUCGAGUCGGCCUGCGCGGAAGAUGUAACGGGGCUAAACCAUGCACCGAAGCUGCGGCAGCGACACUAUGUGUUGUUGGGUAGGGGAGCGUUCUGUAAGCCUGUGAAGGUGGCCUGUGAGGGUUGCUGGAGGUAUCAGAAGUGCGAAUGCUGACAUAAGUAACGAUAAAGCGGGUGAAAAGCCCGCUCGCCGGAAGACCAAGGGUUCCUGUCCAACGUUAAUCGGGGCAGGGUGAGUCGACCCCUAAGGCGAGGCCGAAAGGCGUAGUCGAUGGGAAACAGGUUAAUAUUCCUGUACUUGGUGUUACUGCGAAGGGGGGACGGAGAAGGCUAUGUUGGCCGGGCGACGGUUGUCCCGGUUUAAGCGUGUAGGCUGGUUUUCCAGGCAAAUCCGGAAAACCAAGGCUGAGGCGUGAUGACGAGGCACUACGGUGCUGAAGCGACAAAUGCCCUGCUUCCAGGAAAAGCCUCUAAGCAUCAGGUAACAUCAAAUCGUACCCCAAACCGACACAGGUGGUCAGGUAGAGAAUACCAAGGCGCUUGAGAGAACUCGGGUGAAGGAACUAGGCAAAAUGGUGCCGUAACUUCGGGAGAAGGCACGCUGAUAUGUAGGUGAAGCGACUUGCUCGUGGAGCUGAAAUCAGUCGAAGAUACCAGCUGGCUGCAACUGUUUAUUAAAAACACAGCACUGUGCAAACACGAAAGUGGACGUAUACGGUGUGACGCCUGCCCGGUGCCGGAAGGUUAAUUGAUGGGGUUAGCGGUAACGCGAAGCUCUUGAUCGAAGCCCCGGUAAACGGCGGCCGUAACUAUAACGGUCCUAAGGUAGCGAAAUUCCUUGUCGGGUAAGUUCCGACCUGCACGAAUGGCGUAAUGAUGGCCAGGCUGUCUCCACCCGAGACUCAGUGAAAUUGAACUCGCUGUGAAGAUGCAGUGUACCCGCGGCAAGACGGAAAGACCCCGUGAACCUUUACUAUAGCUUGACACUGAACAUUGAGCCUUGAUGUGUAGGAUAGGUGGGAGGCUUUGAAGUGUGGACGCCAGUCUGCAUGGAGCCGACCUUGAAAUACCACCCUUUAAUGUUUGAUGUUCUAACGUUGGCCCGUAAUCCGGGUUGCGGACAGUGUCUGGUGGGUAGUUUGACUGGGGCGGUCUCCUCCUAAAGAGUAACGGAGGAGCACGAAGGUUGGCUAAUCCUGGUCGGACAUCAGGAGGUUAGUGCAAUGGCAUAAGCCAGCUUGACUGCGAGCGUGACGGCGCGAGCAGGUGCGAAAGCAGGUCAUAGUGAUCCGGUGGUUCUGAAUGGAAGGGCCAUCGCUCAACGGAUAAAAGGUACUCCGGGGAUAACAGGCUGAUACCGCCCAAGAGUUCAUAUCGACGGCGGUGUUUGGCACCUCGAUGUCGGCUCAUCACAUCCUGGGGCUGAAGUAGGUCCCAAGGGUAUGGCUGUUCGCCAUUUAAAGUGGUACGCGAGCUGGGUUUAGAACGUCGUGAGACAGUUCGGUCCCUAUCUGCCGUGGGCGCUGGAGAACUGAGGGGGGCUGCUCCUAGUACGAGAGGACCGGAGUGGACGCAUCACUGGUGUUCGGGUUGUCAUGCCAAUGGCACUGCCCGGUAGCUAAAUGCGGAAGAGAUAAGUGCUGAAAGCAUCUAAGCACGAAACUUGCCCCGAGAUGAGUUCUCCCUGACUCCUUGAGAGUCCUGAAGGAACGUUGAAGACGACGACGUUGAUAGGCCGGGUGUGUAAGCGCAGCGAUGCGUUGAGCUAACCGGUACUAAUGAACCGUGAGGCUUAACCUUACAACGCCGAAG